AUGGUGUGUGUGUGCGUGUGUGUGCGUGUGUGCGCGCCCAGCAACCUUCCUGCGAGGCAUGGUGUGUGUGUGUGUGCGUGCGUGCGUGUGCCCGCCCAGCAACCUUCCUGCGAGGCAUGGUGUGUGUGUGUGUGCGCGCGCGCGCCCAGCAACCUUCCUGCGAGGCAUGGUGUGUGUGUGCGUGCGUGCGUGUGCCCGCCCAGCAACCUUCCUGCGAGGCAUGGUGUGUGUGUGUGUGCGCGCGCGCGCCCAGCAACCUUCCUGAGAGGCAUGGUGUGUGUGUGUGUGUGUGCGCGUGUGCGCGCCCAGCAACCUUCCUGCGAGGCAUGGUGUGUGUGUGUGUGUGUGUGUGUGCACGUGCGCGCCCAGCAACCUUCCUGCGAGGCAUGGUGUGUGUGUGCGUGCGUGCGUGUGCCCGCCCAGCAACCUUCCUGCGAGGCAUGGUGUGUGUCUGUGUGUGCGCGCGCGCAUGGCCAGCAACCUUCCUGCAAAGCAUGGUGUGUGUGCGCGUGUGCGCGCCCAGCAACCUUCCUGCGAGGCAUGGUGUGUGUGUGUGUGCGUGCGUGCGUGUGCCCGCCCAGCAACCUUCCUGCGAGGCAUGGUGUGUGUGUGUGCGUGUGUGUGCGCGCCCAGCAACCUUCCUGCGAGGCAUGGUGUGUGUGUGUGUGCGUGUGCGCGCCCAGCAACCUUCCUGCGAGGCAUGGUGUGUGUGUGUGUGUGUGUGUGUGCACACCCAGCAACCUUCCUGCGAGGCAUGGUGUGUGUGUGUGUGUGUGUUUGUGUGUGCUCGCGCGCGCCCACAGCACCCUUUCUGCGAAGGCAAGGUCUCGGUCGGGGACUCCAGUCAGGAGAACCCUGACCCAGGGCUCAGGAGGCGGCCCCUGCAGCCUCGAGACCUGCUUUUACUGCACUGCCCCUUCUUUCUUGCCCUUUCCCCUUUCUUUCUACCUCCCUUUUUGCUAUUGGGGUAUUACCAGAAUCACCACCCCCCGGUUUUAUUGA
Molecule: long non-coding RNA, 1002 nt
Filed under: Canis lupus dingo (dingo)
Lineage: Eukaryota; Metazoa; Chordata; Mammalia; Carnivora; Canidae
Description: lncRNA (ENSCAFG00020010851.1)
Source: RNAcentral